GCGUGCCUAAUACAUGCAAGUCGAACGAACUCUGGUAUUGAUUGGUGCUUGCAUCAUGAUUUACAUUUGAGUGAGUGGCGAACUGGUGAGUAACACGUGGGAAACCUGCCCAGAAGCGGGGGAUAACACCUGGAAACAGAUGCUAAUACCGCAUAACAACUUGGACCGCAUGGUCCGAGUUUGAAAAAUGGCUUCGGCUAUCACUUUUGGAUGGUCCCGCGGCGUAUUAGCUAGAUGGUGGGGUAACGGCUCACCAUGGCAAUGAUACGUAGCCGACCUGAGAGGGUAAUCGGCCACAUUGGGACUGAGACACGGCCCAAACUCCUACGGGAGGCAGCAGUAGGGAAUCUUCCACAAUGGACGAAAGUCUGAUGGAGCAACGCCGCGUGAGUGAAGAAGGGUUUCGGCUCGUAAAACUCUGUUGUUAAAGAAGAACAUAUCUGAGAGUAACUGUUCAGGUAUUGACGGUAUUUAACCAGAAAGCCACGGCUAACUACGUGCCAGCAGCCGCGGUAAUACGUAGGUGGCAAGCGUUGUCCGGAUUUAUUGGGCGUAAAGCGAGCGCAGGCGGUUUUUUAAGUCUGAUGUGAAAGCCUUCGGCUCAACCGAAGAAGUGCAUCGGAAACUGGGAAACUUGAGUGCAGAAGAGGACAGUGGAACUCCAUGUGUAGCGGUGAAAUGCGUAGAUAUAUGGAAGAACACCAGUGGCGAAGGCGGCUGUCUGGUCUGUAACUGACGCUGAGGCUCGAAAGUAUGGGUAGCAAACAGGAUUAGAUACCCUGGUAGUCCAUACCGUAAACGAUGAAUGCUAAGUGUUGGAGGGUUUCCGCCCUUCAGUGCUGCAGCUAACGCAUUAAGCAUUCCGCCUGGGGAGUACGGCCGCAAGGCUGAAACUCAAAGGAAUUGACGGGGGCCCGCACAAGCGGUGGAGCAUGUGGUUUAAUUCGAAGCUACGCGAAGAACCUUACCAGGUCUUGACAUACUAUGCAAAUCUAAGAGAUUAGACGUUCCCUUCGGGGACAUGGAUACAGGUGGUGCAUGGUUGUCGUCAGCUCGUGUCGUGAGAUGUUGGGUUAAGUCCCGCAACGAGCGCAACCCUUAUUAUCAGUUGCCAGCAUUAAGUUGGGCACUCUGGUGAGACUGCCGGUGACAAACCGGAGGAAGGUGGGGAUGACGUCAAAUCAUCAUGCCCCUUAUGACCUGGGCUACACACGUGCUACAAUGGAUGGUACAACGAGUUGCGAACUCGCGAGGGUAAGCUAAUCUCUUAAAGCCAUUCUCAGUUCGGAUUGUAGGCUGCAACUCGCCUACAUGAAGUUGGAAUCGCUAGUAAUCGCGGAUCAGCAUGCCGCGGUGAAUACGUUCCCGGGCCUUGUACACACCGCCCGUCACACCAUGAGAGUUUGUAACACCCAAAGUCGGUGGGGUAACCUUUAAAGAACCAGCCGCCUAAGGUGGGACAGAUGAUUAGGGUG
RNAcentral lists this ribosomal RNA (1475 nucleotides) under uncultured organism. RNAcentral describes it as "SSU rRNA". It matches the Rfam family "Bacterial small subunit ribosomal RNA". The record is from RNAcentral.